Molecule: ribosomal RNA, 564 nt
Filed under: Aeromonas sp.
Lineage: Bacteria; Pseudomonadati; Pseudomonadota; Gammaproteobacteria; Aeromonadales; Aeromonadaceae
Description: bacterial SSU rRNA
Rfam family: Bacterial small subunit ribosomal RNA
Source: RNAcentral
GCUGGCGGCAGGUCUAACACAUGCAAGUCCGAGCGGCAGCGGGAAAGUNAGCUUGCUACUUUUGCCGGCGAGCGGCGGACGGGUGAGUAAUGCCUGGGAAAUUGCCCAGUCGAGGGGGAUAACAGUUGGAAACGACUGCUAAUACCGCAUACGCCCUACGGGGGAAAGCAGGGGACCUUCGGGCCUUGCGCGAUUGGAUAUGCCCAGGUGGGAUUAGCUGGUUGGUGAGGUAAUGGCUCACCAAGGCGACGAUCCCUAGCUGGUCUGAGAGGAUGAUCAGCCACACUGGAACUGAGACACGGUCCAGACUCCUACGGGAGGCAGCAGUGGGGAAUAUUGCACAAUGGGGGAAACCCUGAUGCAGCCAUGCCGCGUGUGUGAAGAAGGCCUUCGGGUUGUAAAGCACUUUCAGCGAGGAGGAAAGGUCAGUAGCUAAUAUCUGCUGGCUGUGACGUUACUCGCAGAAGAAGCACCGGCUAACUCCGUGCCAGCAGCCGCGGNAAUACGGAGGGUGCAAGCGUUAAUCGGAAUUUACUGGGCGUAAAGCGCACGCACGCGGUUGGA